UACGGGGGGAGCAAGCGUUGUUCGGAUUUACUGGGCGUAAAGGGCGCGUAGGCGGCGUGACAAGUCACUUGUGAAAUCUCCGGGCUUAACUCGGAACGGUCAAGUGAUACUGUCGCGCUAGAGUGCGGAAGGGGCAAUCAGAAUUCUUGGUGUAGCGGUGAAAUGCGUAGAUAUCAAGAGGAAUACCUGAGGUGAAGACGGGUUGCUAGGCCGACACUGACGCUGAAGCGCGAAAGCCAGGGGAGCAAACGGG
Molecule: ribosomal RNA, 253 nt
Filed under: uncultured bacterium
Lineage: Bacteria
Description: partial 16S ribosomal RNA
Rfam family: Bacterial small subunit ribosomal RNA
Source: RNAcentral